CCUACGGGAGGCAGCAGUGAGGAAUAUUGGUCAAUGGACGAGAGUCUGAACCAGCCAAGUAGCGUGAAGGAUGACUGCCCUAUGGGUUGUAAACUUCUUUUAUAAAGGAAUAAAACGAGGCACGUGUGCCUUUUUUCAUGUACUUUAUGAAUAAGGAUCGGCUAACUCCGUGCCAGCAGCCGCGGUAAUUCGGAGGAUCCGAGCGUUUUCCGGAUUUAUUGGGUUUAAAGGGAGCGUAGAUGGGUUGUUAAGUCAGUUGUGAAAGUUUGUGGCUCAACCGUAAAAUUGCAAUUGAUACUGGCAGUCUUGAGUAGAGUUGAGGUAGGCGGAAUGCGUGGUGUAGCGGUGAAAUGCUUAGAUAUCACGAAGAACCCCGAUUGCGAAGGCAGCUUACUAGACUGUGACUGACAUUGAUGCUCGAAAGUGUGGGUAUCAAACAGGAUUAGAUACCCCGGUAGUC
This 460-nucleotide ribosomal RNA is filed under the name uncultured bacterium. RNAcentral describes it as "partial 16S ribosomal RNA". It matches the Rfam family "Bacterial small subunit ribosomal RNA", at positions 338 to 795 of the family's 1533-position model. The record is from RNAcentral.